AUGGGGCGAAGCACCGUUAAUCCUAUUUGGAGUAAGAUAUGGAAGUUAUCGUGUCCGGCACAAGUCAAAAAAUUUAUAUGGCGUACAUUACAUGGAACGCUUCCAUGUCGGGUUACGCUCGCAAAUAGACAUAUGAAGGUCACGCCCAUUUGCCCUACUUGCUCUGAGGGUUCUGAAGAUACAAAGCAUAUGCUUUUCCUUCGCAGUAGAGAAAAGGAGGUUUGGACAAGGCUGGGGAUGGAUGAUAUCAUUGAUAAAGCUUGCAAGGUUGACCUUGCUGGAGAGGCGGUGCUGGAAUACCUACUACUUCUGCCAGACCAAGAGUCGAGGAUAAUGGGUCAUCACAAUGUGCGUGAAAUGAUUGCUGUUUCAGCAUGGUAUCUAUGGUGGGAAAGAAGGAAGUUAGUGCACAAGGAGACAACUCAGAAUGCACUUCAGAUUUCAAUGGGGAUUCUAGCCCUUACGUCAAACUUCGUAAAUGCAUCAUCCCCCAAGGCUACUACGAAAAAGGGGGGUUGGUCAUGUCCUCCUAGGGGUUUUAUGAAACUUAACGUUGACGCUUCUUUUGACCAUGACCUACUUAAGGGCACGAUGGGGGCGGUUUUGAGAGAUGAAAAAGGUAGGUUUAUCGUGGGGGGAAACGGGAAGAUUGACUAUUGCGAUGAUGUGUCGAUGGCGGAAGCCUCAGCUCUUAAAUUUGGUAUAACAUUGGCGCAAAGGGCGGGAUGUAAUCGCCUUAUUAUUAACUCGGACAACCUGGAGGUGAUUGAUACCAUGAAGAAUGGAGGACAGUCGACGGGUGCGGCGGCGGCAAUUUUCGACGAUUGUUUUCAUUAUGCUUGUGACUUCGUUGCUACUAGAUUCGAACACUGCAACAGAGAAGCAAAUAAAGUAGCUCAUAAGCUUGCGAGUUUAGCUAGAUUUUCGUUGGUUUCUGAAUGGUUUGAGGAACCUGUAAAUGAAAUUGUAAUGACCCUCACAAACGAUGUACUUGCUAUCUCUCAUGAAUAA
This 1011-nucleotide ribosomal RNA is filed under the name Triticum aestivum (bread wheat). RNAcentral describes it as "partial small subunit ribosomal RNA". Lineage: Eukaryota; Viridiplantae; Streptophyta; Magnoliopsida; Poales; Poaceae. The record is from RNAcentral.